UGGGCUUAUCAAUAAUAAUUUCAAUUUUUUUCAGUAUAAUUUCUGUUGCUCAAAAGUAUGUGCGUAGAGUAUUUCUUCUUAUAUAUGGAUUAAGUGGAUUUUGAUGUUCAUUUGUCUGUGUGUUGGUUGCUUUCUGCCCUUUUGCUUCUCAAGAAACCGAAUGCAGGUUCCUUUUUCAUUUCUUAUUUACAUACCCUUUUAAUGAAUGUCCAUAAUUUAGGCUUUUGAUUUCUGGCUGUGAAUGUGUGAUUUGAUGAUCAAGCUAAACUGCAUUUGUAGUUUAGCAGUAGGUUAUGAGGUGGUGGACUACUCUUGGGAACUUGCAUAAUACUGAGUGGGGUAUUCUGCUAUCGUUUUCUUCAUGUUUCAGGCAGUUGCUACUUUAGGGACUUACGGCAGCAUUAGAGAUGGGAAAGAAGGUGAUAUGUCAAAGGUAAUUUCAUUAUUCGUUCAAUUUUGAUGGUGGUCCUUAUCUUUAGUUAUGUUUAUUUUCUAUGUUGUAUAUAUCCAUGUACAUAUGCGCGUGUGUGUGUAGAUUGAUCAUCUAACAAAAAAACAUGCUAAAACUAUAGAAAAUGAAAAUUAUGUAUUAUUGUGUAAAGGUGCUGCCUUUCUAUUUUUUUUGUAGUAUACUACUUUUAUUGUGCUGGGCACCAUUCUCUUUCAUUCAUAAGUCAUUUGCACACAACAAUUUAGAACAUUUUAUGUGUAAAUUUCCAAAAUCAUGGUACUGUUGAUGGUUGCUCUCUAAGCUGCGAAAUCAGGUAUAAGAAAAUCUUA
RNAcentral lists this long non-coding RNA (780 nucleotides) under Malus domestica (apple). Its description in RNAcentral is "long non-coding RNA (MDOM_LNC011176)". Lineage: Eukaryota; Viridiplantae; Streptophyta; Magnoliopsida; Rosales; Rosaceae. The record is from RNAcentral.